GUGAGUCAUCGAAUCUUUGAACGCACAUUGCGCCCCGUGGUAUUCCGCGGGGCACGCCUGUCCGAGCGUCAUUCCACCCCUCAAGCCCGGCUUGGUGUUGGGCCCCGCCGCUCGCGGCCGGCCCCAAAGGCAGUGGCGGCGCCGCCCGGCCCUCAGCGCAGUACGACCCUCGCUCGAGGGCCCGGCGGACGCCCGCCAGAACCCACGACCAUCGUGGACCUCGGAUCAGGUGGGGAUACCCGCUGAACUUAAGCAUAUCAAUAAGCGGAGGA
This 272-nucleotide unclassified non-coding RNA is filed under the name Oidiodendron sp. RNAcentral describes it as "partial contains 5.8S ribosomal RNA, internal transcribed spacer 2, and large subunit ribosomal RNA". The stretch from base 1 to 71 matches the Rfam family "5.8S ribosomal RNA", at positions 84 to 154 of the family's 154-position model. Lineage: Eukaryota; Fungi; Ascomycota; Leotiomycetes; Myxotrichaceae. The record is from RNAcentral.